CCUACGGGUGGCUGCAGUGGGGAAUAUUGGGCAAUGGGCGCAAGCCUGACCCAGCAACGCCGCGUGAAGGAAGAAGGCUUUCGGGUUGUAAACUUCUUUUCUCAGGGACGAAGCAAUUGACGUUACCUGAGUAAUAAGCCACGGCUAACUACGGGCCAGCAGCCGCUGUAAUACGUAGGUGGCAAGCGUUAUCCGGAUUUACUGGGUGUAAAGGGCUUGUAGGCGGGGACGCAAGUCAGAUGUGAAAACCACGGGCUCAACCUGUGGACCGCAUUUGAAACUGUGUUGCUUGAGUACUGGAGAGGUAGACGGAAUUCCUAGUGUAGCGGUGAAAUGCGUAGAUAUUAGGAGGAACACCAGUGGCGAAGGCGGUCUGCUGGACAGCAACUGACGCUGAGGCGCGAAAGCGUGGGGAGCAAACAGGAUUAGAUACCCUUGUAGUC
Molecule: ribosomal RNA, 443 nt
Filed under: uncultured bacterium
Lineage: Bacteria
Description: partial 16S ribosomal RNA
Rfam family: Bacterial small subunit ribosomal RNA
Source: RNAcentral